Mirounga angustirostris (Northern elephant seal) is the source of this 4845-nucleotide long non-coding RNA. RefSeq lists it as uncharacterized. The record is from RefSeq and is a predicted model, not a curated record. Lineage: Eukaryota; Metazoa; Chordata; Mammalia; Carnivora; Phocidae. The transcript is spliced from 6 exons.
CCGACGGCAGGGGGCGCUGGUGGCCGGGCUGUCUUGGAGCGGGAGGACGCAGGCUAUGGCUCCGGAGCACGCUGCCAACCCGGCUUCUCACAUGAGGGGAGUCCCGAAACCUGUGAAACAACCCGCCUAGCGGCUUCGGCCGUCGGGCGACGUGGGCGGAGGGACAGCUUUCCCAGCUGCGUCUCUUCCUGGUUGCAUCUCCGCUGCUCUUCGCUGCUGGGUCGGCGCCCUGGCGCUCAAGGCCCCUCCAGUGGGCAAGCCAUGGUUCUUCUAAGAGUCAUUUGAAGUACCGGAGAAAAGAUUUUCUCCAAGAACGGGCAGUUCAGAAGCUCCACAUGAGUAGUGUAGCAGGUGGGAAGGAAGAUAAAGGUAAAGUAAAGAUGACUGGAGAAACCAAUAAGGGAUUAGAUCCUGUAAUGGGAUGUGAGCUUGGGCUUUGUGGAAUAGAGCACCUGGGCCUGAAGGAAAAGAGAGGCACCUUUCCAAGAAGCUGGGAAGAUGGCACAUGUGUUGACCAACCAGUGUGAAGUUAACUGAGGACGAAAGGGGCCAUGUCCUCAAAUAUCACCUCAACCUAGUUCUGGAGGCUGAGAAGUUCAAGAUCAAGGUGCUGGCAGGGUGGAUUUUAUCCCUGUGAGGGAGCAAGAAUUCCUGUCCCCUUCAAGGAUCCUUCUAGCUGGACUAAGAAUCAAAUUGACACAAGACAGAGUAACAGGAGAAAAUUAACAGCAUAUGUAAAGGAAAUCUACAUAGACAUGGAAAUUCCAAAGACAGGCAGGCAAAAUGAGGUAUAUAUGGCAUUCUGAACUAAGGAGAAGGGGUAGGGGUCUGGGAUUUAAGGAAUACAAUUUACAGGGCAGUAAGAAGAAGAGCAGAUAGGGGUGCCUGGGUGGCUCAGUCGUUAAGCGUCUGCCUUUGGCUCAGGUCAUGAUCCCAGUGUCCUGGGAUCGAGUCCCGCAUCGGGCUCCCUGCUCCAUGGGAAGCCUGCUUCUCCGUCUCCCACUCCCCCUGCUUGUGUUCCCUCUCUCGCUGUGUCUCUCUCUAUAAAAUAAAUAAAUAAAAUCCUUAAAAAAAAAAAAGUAGAUGUUUGGUAAUUAGCUGUUUGGUCUGCUAUGCAGAUGGGUCGCUCAAAUAAAAUUUAUCUUUGCUAAUAACCCUUAUUCUAGGAAAGAACCAAUUUAGAUUCUUCUAUAUAGUUAAGGGAGGGGCAAAAUUUUCUCUUGGGCCCACAGGGUCUCGAUUGCCUUCAGCUCAAAAUAAUCCAUGUACCAAAAUAUCCCAUCUUGGGGCAGCCUGCCCUUGGCCUCCACAAUUCCAAACCCUCUGCCCUCAGCUUGCAGACAGCAGCCUUUUUGCUGUUUGCUCACAUGAUCUCUUUUUUGUGUGCUUGUUCAAAGAGAGGGGGCGCUCUCUGGUGUCUCUUCUAUAAAGGCAUUAAUCCCACCUUGGAAUUCCCAUCCUCAUGACUUCAUUUAAUCUUAAUUACUUCCACAAAGGCCCUGUCUCCAAAUAUAGUUAUAUUUGGGGAUAGGAGUUCAAUAUGUAUUGGAGGGGGAGAGACACAAACAUUCAGUUCAUAACACCUGUCUAAAACUAGUCCUUUUUGUUUUCCAAUAGUAUACCCUCCCCUAGCUAUGAUUUCCCAGUAUUUGCAAAAAGCCAUGGCCAUGUGUAGUUCUCCUUCUACAGGAGUUUACAGUGAGCUUUAAAAAAAUAAAAUGCUUUUGGCCAUCUCAGUAGCAAAAGACACUUACAUAGACACCAGUAUUCUUCUCUUAAAUAGUUCUGCAUAAAGAACUUUGUUGGAAAGACAGAAAACAGCAUUUAUUUAUUUACUUUUUAAGUAGGCUCCAUGCCCAAUGUGGGGCUCAAACUCAUGACCCUGAGAUUAAGAGUCAUAUGUUCUACUGACUGAGCCAGCCAGGUGCCCCCAGAAGGCAGCAUUCAAACUGCAGGUCCUACUAUCCCGUUUUUAAAAAUACUGUUUAUUAACAUUCUUAAAAGUACAGAAAUAUGCAAAGAAAAUAAUUUGGUCCCAAAUCCCACUUUCCAAUAAUCUAUAUUGGUUUUUUUUUAAGUAAUCUCUACACCCAACAUGAGGCUCAAAUUCAUGACCCCAAGAUCAAGAGUCACAUGCUGUACCAACAGCCAGCCAGGUACCCCCAAUGUUGGUAUUUUUAGAAAGUAAUAUAUGCAAGAGAUUAGAAAAAUUCAGAUAGUGCAGAAAGUAUAAAAUGAAAAGUGAAACCUCCAUCCCUCACUGUUCCAACCCUUUACCCCAAAAGUAACUUGUUAAUAUUCAUUCAUUCAUUGAUUUAAAGUACUUGUUGAGGGGCACCUGGGUGGCUCAGUCCAUUAAGCAUCUGACUCUUGAUUUUGGCUCAGGUCAUAAUCUCAGGGUCAUGAGAUAGAACCCCAAGUCGGGCUCUGCACUCAGCGGGGAGUCUGCUUAGAUUGUCUCUCCCUCUCUGCCCCUCCCCGCCUCGAAUAAAUAAAUCUUAAAAAAAAAAUAGUUGUUGAGUACCUGCUAUGUGCUGAGUACUGUUCUGGGUGCUGGGAUUACAGUAGUGAUCAAGAUGUGUCCAGUUUUCACUUCAUGGCACUUGCACUGUCCACUUGCACAUGGACAAGGCAGGUGAUAAACACAUGGGGCGCCUGGGUGGCUCAGUCGUUAAGCGUCUGCCUUGGGAUCAGGUCAUGGUCCCAGGGUCCUGGGAUCGAGCCCCGCAUCAGGCUCCCUGCUCGGUGGGAAGCCUGCUUCUCCCUCUCCCACUCCCCCUGCUUGUGUUCACUCUCUUGCUGUCUCUCUCUCUGUCAAACACAUAAAAUAUUAUCAGGUAGUGGUAAAUGCUAUGAAUAAAAAGCAGUGUGGGUGAGUACAGGGAUGGGAUAACUGGGUGAUGGGCAUUAAGAAGGGCACGUGAUGUGAUGAGCACUGGGUGUUAUAUGCAACUGAUGAAUCAUUGAACACUACAUCAGAAACUAAUGUUAGCUAAUUGGAUUUCAAUUAAAAGAAAAAAGAAAUGCAAAAAGCAGUGUGGAAGAAAGGAGAGGUUGCAAGCAGAGGACUAUUCUGAGCUAUGGCCUGCAGUGAGGGAGUAAGCCUCUGAAUAUCUGGGGGAAGAGCAUUCUAGAAAGAGCCUAAGUGUGAAAUCCAGGGGUGAGAGUUUUCUUCCUGGGCCAGCACUAUGUCCACCAUUCCUAUUGUCUUUGAAAUCUGUGCUGAGUGCAGCAGGCAUUUAUCAUCACAUUCGUCCAGUUCCCUCUUACAGUAAAAACAAAAUUAAUAAAGGGAAACCUAACUAAAAUGGAGCCGGGAGACCAGAAGGGGGAGCUCUCCAGCCCUACCACUCUGCAUCAAUUACUGGAAAAACUGUCACUUCAGACCCCAGCAGAAUUGUCAACAGGAAAGAAUCAUCAGUUAUAAGCACCAACGGGAGAAAUGUACAUUACAUCUCUUCAGCAACAAAGCCAAUGAGAAACCGUCAUCACCCUGUACUCUUGCUUUACUCCAAUGGACUUUCCUUCAAAACAACCCCUCCCAACUUCCUCUUCCUUCUCCAGAAAAUAACAUUCCUUUCCUUUCUUGGACUAGCCUAUGGUUUUUGCCAUAGCUUGCUUGUCCCACGUUGCAGUUCUCUGCUAUUCUUGAAUAAACUCAUUUUUGCUGCUAAAAUAACUGUUUUAUUUUUAAGGUCAUCAAAAAUGUAUUUGUUACACAUAGGUAUCUGUCAAAAUUGAAAUAAAGUGAAAUAGACUAGAGGCGAUAUCCAUUUCAAGAAAAAUGAGAGAAAGCAAAUUCGCUUGGGGAAGUGGUCUUUUCUUCGCUUGUUACGUUACCUGUCUGGCUCCUGUAAACGUUUGAGCUUGCCACCCCAAUAGAGAGCUGACUCCCUCAUUUGCCAAAGAGGAUCUGAGACUAUAACAGCACUCCAAUCAGGAGUUAAGGGUUAAACUGCUUCAAGUUUCUGUGCUCCCAGCUUGCUGACCUAAGCUCCCUUCUUGCUGACCUAAGUCUCUUUGUCUAUAGCAGAACUAACCUACUUUCCUUGAGAUUUGCAGGCCACUGGCCUUGAGGAGUGAAGGCCCAGACUUUUCCAGAAGGUGCUCUUUGACAAGAGACCAUCAGGGCUGGUGAUGCCAGUGUGCAGCCUUUCAGAUGUGCUGGAGGAUAAAAGGCCCUGCCCUGAGUCCCUGGAGUGCCUCCACGCACCGUGCAGACAGAAUAUCUUGGCCCCUCCACACCUGAGCAGACCUGGAAACGGAAAAGUGACAGCCCUACUACACCUGUGUGUUAUCACAAAAGCCAAGUGCCAGAAAAUCUUCAACAAGGAGACCUGCAGCUAUAAGACGGUGGAACAGAAUCACCCAGAAAGGACCUGUAUUGUCAGUUGAAUGGAUAAUGUAAUGUGCUUGUAGUGGGCCCAGGGCUCCCAGCCUGAGAGGGCCCAGGUUUUCCCAGGCCAGGCCUUGUUCCUUUUUGGCCUCUAACAAUCUAUGAUUGUCUAACCCUACCUACCGGUAAAAAAGCUUUUGAGCAAGACUUAAAUCUGUGUAUGCUUUUAGUUUAUAAAUUAUUAUGUAUUAGUUUAUAAAUUAUGUAUGUAUUAGAAAUCAUGCAGUGAAAGGAAACAAAAAAUAAAUAUGAAUAAAAGUUAUAAUGGCUUUAUAAUAUAUACUGGAUUAGAUCAUUGUAUGUCUCCUACUUAGGGGACCACUGCUGCUUCUGUCACUUAUGAUAUGUCUGAAGUCUGCUGCCCUGGUGUCCAGCUAUCCGGUGAACAAUCCAAAAAAUACAUGUGUCUUCGAGAUGAAAUCAGAUCCCUCAUUUUCUUUGAGGUCUCA